GGGGCUAUAGCUCAGCUGGGAGAGCGCCUCGCUGGCAGCGAGGAGGUCGGCGGUUCGAUCCCGCCUAGCUCCACCA
Molecule: transfer RNA, 76 nt
Filed under: Pseudoalteromonas luteoviolacea
Lineage: Bacteria; Pseudomonadati; Pseudomonadota; Gammaproteobacteria; Alteromonadales; Pseudoalteromonadaceae
Also listed under: 4 other names
Description: tRNA-Ala
Rfam family: tRNA
About the family: Transfer RNA (tRNA) molecules are approximately 80 nucleotides in length. Their secondary structure includes four short double-helical elements and three loops (D, anti-codon, and T loops).
Source: RNAcentral